CGGCGUCCUCAACUGGACAGGAAGGCAGAGCUUGGUUGUCUGUGUCAGCAGACUCGGGCAUGAUAUCCCGGCCCGGCUUGAAUGCAGAGCAAUGGCCACUGCACAGUCAGCGGGAGGAACAAGACUCAAGGCAGAGCCUGAUGGGGAAGCGAUGUUCCCCAUGAUGCUAGAAGGGAGCGUGCCACUCUCCGUGGGGGGAGCGAGGUUCUCCACAAGGCCAGAGAGGGGAGCGAGGUUCUCUGCGAGGCCAGAGGGAAGCUCCAAGAUUUCCACUAGGCCAGAGAGGGGAGUGAGGUUCUCCAUGAGGCCAAAGGGAGGAACAAUGCUCUCUGCGAAGCACGAGGGGGAAAUGAUACCCUCCAUGGAGCAGGAAGGGGGAGUGACAUACGGCGCGCAGUAAAGAAGAGGAGCGACAUUAGCGGAAAAAGGAGGCAGAGCGACGUCCUCAGCGAAGCAGGAUGACCGAGCAACGACUUCAGCCGAGCAGAAAGGCUGAUCGGCGUCCUCAGACAAGCAGGGAGGCUGACUGAUGUUCCCCGUUGACUCUGUUUGCUGGACUAGAUCCAUAAUAGGAGAGAGUGUGUGGGAGAUGGUACCAGCCCAGUUAAAAGUCUCCCACUUGUACCGGGACUCCUGGACCCUGAAAAAUUCCACUGCAUCCAUUGUUAGGUCAUACGUUCACGAUUCAAAGGUGGAGAUGGAUGCAAAGAAUUUCAAACAUUUAAUAGAUAACCCAACAAACUACAAAAGACAAAGACAACAAGGCAAAAUACUGUGGCUAAGACUAAACAUACACUAAGAAACAAAACAUGGUAACAGGGACAAAGGUAAAGUUAGACAAACGGAAGCAGUGCAAACAGUGGCUAUGUAUAGGAGUGCUCUUAAGUGAUAUGGGUGCAGGUGGUCAUGUGACAUUGAUGUAGUACGGUGCAGUGCUGCUGGGAAAUGAAGUCCAGAGUUCCUUCCUUGAUACAUGACAUAUAGCUACUUUUUGGCAAAGAUUGCAUUAAACUGCGCCU
Ictalurus punctatus (channel catfish) is the source of this 1019-nucleotide long non-coding RNA. Lineage: Eukaryota; Metazoa; Chordata; Actinopteri; Siluriformes; Ictaluridae. The record is from Ensembl.